GCGACCCCAGGUCAGGCGCGACUACCCGCUGAGUUUAAGCAUAUCAAUAAGCGG
RNAcentral lists this ribosomal RNA (54 nucleotides) under Oxalis squamata. Its description in RNAcentral is "partial 26S ribosomal RNA". Lineage: Eukaryota; Viridiplantae; Streptophyta; Magnoliopsida; Oxalidales; Oxalidaceae. The record is from RNAcentral.